CAGGUGGUGCAUGGUUGUCGGUCAGCUCGUGUCGUGAGAUGUGGUUAAGUCCGCAACGAGCGCAACCCUUGUCUUUAGUUACCAUCAUUCAGUUGGGGACUCUAGAGAGACUGCCGGUGAUAAACCGGAGGAAGGUGGGGAUGACGUCAAAUCAUCAUGCCCCUUAUGGCCUGGGCUACAAACGUAAUACAAUGGCGUAUACAAAGGGAUGCGAAAGGGUGACCUGGAGCAAAACUCACAAAGUACGUCUCAGUUCAGAUUGGAGUCUGCAACUCGACUCCAUGAAGGCGGAAUCGCUAGUAAUCGCGGAUCAGCAUGCCGCGGUGAAUACGUUCUCGGGGUUU
Molecule: ribosomal RNA, 344 nt
Filed under: uncultured Erysipelothrix sp.
Lineage: Bacteria; Bacillati; Bacillota; Erysipelotrichia; Erysipelotrichales; Erysipelotrichaceae
Description: bacterial SSU rRNA
Rfam family: Bacterial small subunit ribosomal RNA
Source: RNAcentral